This 27-nucleotide non-coding RNA is filed under the name Mus musculus (house mouse). Lineage: Eukaryota; Metazoa; Chordata; Mammalia; Rodentia; Muridae. The record is from RNAcentral.
UGAACUAUAUGGAGUGAUGGGAACCCC